GCCCAUAAGAUACAUCUAGGGAUGCCAUAACUAUGUCCUCAAUGCAAAUAAGGGUAUAAAGUCAAGCGCAGCCGACAAUUAGAAUGUGCCAAUCAUAAUCACCAACUGCAAUCCCUAGGCACCCAUCCUUUCUCUCAAAUUCUUCUCCCUUAAAAAAUAAACCCUACAACUUCAACGCCACCUCUGACCCAACAUCAUCGUCCCCGAUCGAACCUCCGGUUAAACUUUUUGGCUUCAACCGAACCACCGGCGACACCUGUGUUUCGAUCAACCUCCGACAAACCCCACCACAUUCCGACCGGACUCCGGCGAUCGCUACUCGGAACUCGGUACUUGGAACUCCGCUUAUUUUCUACGAACACGCACAAACAGUUCCGACGCUAAAUCGAGGAUGAUGAUGGUUCCUCUCGUGUUCGGGUUUCGGUUUCAGGCCUCCGUGCGAGAAGGGGCAGGGGCAACAACACACACACACACACCCAGCCGCCCCCUUAAUGUUUGGACGUAGUUGAACUACUGUAUGUCAAGUAACUAGUCUUACCGAGCAAACCAAGGUUAUUGAUACGUGUGGAUGUGGAACUUGCGGUCUGGGAUGCUGGAGUGGUCAUGGGUCGAGAUACAUGGAAACUUGAAACGAGACUAGAAGAUUACAU
Molecule: long non-coding RNA, 650 nt
Filed under: Helianthus annuus (common sunflower)
Lineage: Eukaryota; Viridiplantae; Streptophyta; Magnoliopsida; Asterales; Asteraceae
Description: sRNA HanXRQr2_Chr16g0750951
Source: RNAcentral